GCCAGGUGUGAUGGUAUGCACCUGUAGUCCCAGCUACUUGGGAGGCUGAGGUGGGAGGAUCACCUGAGCCCAGGAAGUCAAGACUGUGGUGAGCUGUGAUCAAGCCACUGCACUCCAGCCUGGGCAACAGAGUGAGACCCCAUCUCAA
Molecule: non-coding RNA, 148 nt
Organism: Homo sapiens (human)
Lineage: Eukaryota; Metazoa; Chordata; Mammalia; Primates; Hominidae
Rfam family: Metazoan signal recognition particle RNA
About the family: The signal recognition particle (SRP) is a universally conserved ribonucleoprotein. It is involved in the co-translational targeting of proteins to membranes. The eukaryotic SRP consists of a 300-nucleotide 7S RNA and six proteins: SRPs 72, 68, 54, 19, 14, and 9.
Source: Rfam